This 433-nucleotide ribosomal RNA is filed under the name uncultured Lachnospiraceae bacterium. RNAcentral's name for it is "partial 16S ribosomal RNA". It matches the Rfam family "Bacterial small subunit ribosomal RNA", at positions 341 to 792 of the family's 1533-position model. Lineage: Bacteria; Bacillati; Bacillota; Clostridia; Lachnospirales; Lachnospiraceae. The record is from RNAcentral.
ACGGGAGGCGCAGUGGGGAAUAUUGCACAAUGGGGGAAACCCUGAUGCAACGACGCCGCGUGGGUGAUGAAGUAUUUCGGUACGUAAAGCCCUAUCAGCAGGGAAGAUAAUGACGGUACCUGACUAAGAAGCUCCGGCUAAAUACGUGCCAGCAGCCGCGGUAAUACGUAUGGAGCAAGCGUUAUCCGGAUUUACUGGGUGUAAAGGGAGCGCAGGCGGUUUUGUAAGUUGGGUGUGAAAGCCCGGGGCUCAACCCCGGGACUGCACCCAAAACUGCAGGACUAGAGUGUCGGAGGGGCAAGCGGAAUUCCUAGUGGAGCGGUGAAAUGCGUAGAUAUUAGGAGGAACACCGGUGGCGAAGGCGGCUUGCUGGACGACAACUGACGCUGAGGCUCGAAAGCGUGGGGAGCAAACAGGAUUAGAUACCCUGGUA